This is a non-coding RNA of Biomphalaria pfeifferi, 259 nucleotides long. NCBI's taxonomy places the organism in Eukaryota, Metazoa, Mollusca, Gastropoda, Planorbidae. The record is from the annotation of a GenBank genome assembly.
AGAUUUUAAAUAGCACUUAGUACAAAAAUUAGCAAACAUUCCAAAAUGUAAGUUGAAGAUGGAUAACUAUACAUGCUCUAAAGUUCUGGAUCAUUAAACAGAAAGUGUAUAUCAGGGGAGGUUCAUAUCUCAGCCCUUUAUGGUGAAAGGAUGACAGUUUUAGUAAUUUAUCUAAGUGUUUUGGUUUAACAAGCCUGAAAUUUACUAAUCCUCAUUCUAGUCAUGCAUUUAUUGUUAACUUUUGUUAUACUAAGAGACA